AACGCUGGCGGCGUGCCUAAUACAUGCAAGUCGAACGAGUUUUGGUCGAUGAACGGUGCUUGCACUGAGAUUCGACUUAAAACGAGUGGCGGACGGGUGAGUAACACGUGGGUAACCUGCCCUUAAGUGGGGGAUAACAUUUGGAAACAGAUGCUAAUACCGCAUAAAUCCAAGAACCGCAUGGUUCUUGGCUGAAAGAUGGCGCAAGCUAUCGCUUUUGGAUGGACCCGCGGCGUAUUAGCUAGUUGGUGAGGUAACGGCUCACCAAGGCGAUGAUACGUAGCCGAACUGAGAGGUUGAUCGGCCACAUUGGGACUGAGACACGGCCCAAACUCCUACGGGAGGCAGCAGUAGGGAAUCUUCCACAAUGGACGCAAGUCUGAUGGAGCAACGCCGCGUGAGUGAAGAAGGCUUUCGGGUCGUAAAACUCUGUUGUUGGAGAAGAAUGGUCGGCAGAGUAACUGUUGUCGGCGUGACGGUAUCCAACCAGAAAGCCACGGCUAACUA
Molecule: ribosomal RNA, 507 nt
Filed under: Lacticaseibacillus zeae
Lineage: Bacteria; Bacillati; Bacillota; Bacilli; Lactobacillales; Lactobacillaceae
Description: bacterial SSU rRNA
Rfam family: Bacterial small subunit ribosomal RNA
Source: RNAcentral